AAAGGAAUAGACGGGGACCCGCACAAGCGGUGGAGUAUGUGGUUUAAUUCGACGCAACGCGAAGAACCUUACCAACCUUUGACAUGGGAAGUAUGAGUCUAGGAGACUAGAUUCUUCAGUUCGGCUGGCUUCCACACAGGUGCUGCAUGGCUGUCGUCAGCUCGUGUCGUGAGAUGUUGGGUUAAGUCCCGCAACGAGCGCAACCCUCAUCUUCAGUUACCAUCAGGUUAUGCUGGGUACUCUGGAGAAACCGCCGGUGAUAAGCCGGAGGAAGGCGGGGAUGACGUCAAGUCCUCAUGGUCCUUACAGGUUGGGCUACACACGUACUACAAUGGUGGUGACAAUGGGAAGCAAAAUCGCAAGGUGGAGCCAAUCCUAAAAAACCAUCUCAGUUCAGAUUGCACUCUGCAACUCGAGUGCAUGAAGUUGGAAUCGCUAGUAAUCGCAGAUCAGAACGCUGCGGUGAAUACGUUCCCGGGUCUUGCACACACCGCCCGU
Molecule: ribosomal RNA, 498 nt
Filed under: uncultured bacterium
Lineage: Bacteria
Description: bacterial SSU rRNA
Rfam family: Bacterial small subunit ribosomal RNA
Source: RNAcentral